CGACUCUGAAGCCGAGUUGUCACAUUCACAGAGGCUGUAAGGUGCCAACGUUUGUGUUCCAGCUGAAGAGGGGGGACCACCUUUUCCAGUUACUGCCAACGAAGCAUCUGGCUGCAUUGAGGAUCUGAGAGAUACCACUGAAGAAACCCUAUAGGAUGAAACGCAUUGGGUGAUGCUGUAUAUUCUUAUGGGUGGAUGGAAGAACUGAAAACUUUGUUCUAAUAUGAAGCUUAGUGAAUUUAAGUAAUUGCUAUCAAAAAUUAAU
Pseudophryne corroboree (corroboree frog) is the source of this 265-nucleotide long non-coding RNA. RefSeq lists it as uncharacterized. The transcript is spliced from 3 exons. NCBI's taxonomy places the organism in Eukaryota, Metazoa, Chordata, Amphibia, Anura, Myobatrachidae. The record is from RefSeq and is a predicted model, not a curated record.